UUAUAAUAUCGGGGGACAGAAAACAACGAGGAGCCGACUAGUGCGGUGGCGAAAAGAACCGUCCUCGUCUCGGCUAUUAAAAGUGUCGGAAAACUUUUGAGUAUUUGCGCGUCCGAAAUUAGACAGACAGCUGGAUGGACGGCCCCGAGAUCUGCUGACACACAUUUAUUGCAUUCAUCUGUGAUUUGAUUGUUGUAUUUAUCGGUGAUUAUCAUUCAUCUAGAAACUGGUCAUCAUCAUCACCAUCAUAGGAACGGCGUUAUUCAUUUAUUCGGUUUUUUCCUGGUUAUGAAGUGCAGUGUCAGCCUCCGAGGCCAGUCAGUUUCGAUUUAGCUGUCCAAGUGUGUGCUCAUCUUGUUCUUCGUUCGUGUGUGUGUGUGUGUUGUGUUAUGCGCGCGCUCAGCACACAAAGAAAUAUCUCGAAUAACUCGGCCAUUGUCGGAUAUCUUUGAAACAGGUUGAAUCGACAAUGGAUUCGGCCUCGGAUCGGGAGGCAAAGGCGAGCAACGGAGGUGGCGAGAGUCACAGAGGCACGCCGAAUCAUCAUGGAAGCUCAUCGUCCGCCAUGAGUGUCCAGCAGGCCCAGCAAGCUCAAGCCCAAGCUGCAGCUAUGAACGCCCUCGGACUCCUCGAUCCUUCAGCCCUCUUUGCGCAUUCGUUGUUUGCUGCCGGAAUUCCGGCUAGUUACAACCCGAUGGCUCCGAUGUCCGGCUACGGUCUACUGGGUCAAGGCGGCCCGUCACCUUUCGCCCCUCCCUCGUCCAGCAAUCAAGCCAACGCAGCAGCUCAGGCCGCCUGGUGGCAGGUAGCUUCACAAAUGGAUUACUUGGCCCGGUUGCAGCACGCUGCCGCAUCCGCUUCCGCUGGUUCUUCGUCCGGUCGUGGCGGCGGUGGCGCUUCGUCCUCUUCCGCCGCCGCCGCCGCUUCUUCCUCAACAUUCCACGGGAUCCCCGGAUUUAGCGGCCUCUCGGCGGCCGACAGCAUGCUGGCCAGCUACACGAUGGCCAUGAACGCGGCGGCACAUUCCGGAAACGUUGGCGGCAAAUCGGCGAAAAGCUCGUCGUCGUCGUCGCGCAACAGUUCCAAUCCCAUCGUGCGGGAUUCACUCAGCACGCAGCCUAUUCCUUCCGCCUCGACAGCCUCGCCCUAUCAGCCGGCCAAUACCUCGACUCCGUCAAGUGGCAAAUCUCGUCCACCCGCCGGAACUGAACUCAAAUUCAUGACUCCCGAAUCGGCCGCUCAGACUGCCACCCCUACCACUAGCAGUUCCGCCAACCGUAAGAGCAGUUCCAGCAGCAAAAAUCGACGGAGGGCCAACACCUCCAACAAUCUGGAACCGGCCUCCGUCUCGGUCCACACUUCCGGAUCGGCCACGACACCCAGUUCCAGUUUGUCGUCUCUCUCUUCCAUGGCCAUGUCGUAUCCUUUCUUCGGCAAUCCACUCGCCUCCCUGGCCAUGCCACCAGCCAUGGCCGCAGCCGUCCAGUCGGUUCAAUCAGCCCAGUCGACUUCUUCUUCUUCACCCGCCAACGAGGACAAGAAACGAUCCGGCAAGAAAUCAGCAGAUCGACAUUCGAUGGAUUCGGCAGCCGUUCAACUGCUUCGUUUACCGGCCACGACCAGCAGCUCCGUCACGGUGACGACAACCAGCAGCCUCAACAACAACACCAUCAACAACGGGACAAAAGCUCGAAGCCAAACCGUCAACGGCAAACCCUUGGCGCUGGAUGUCAGCUCGCUGAUUGGGAAGCCCAGCACAUCACAGUCGACGACCUCGUCGGAAGAGGCGCCACUGAAUCUCUCGAUGAAAGCCAAAGAGGAGCCGUCGCAGCAGCCGACCUCGUCGUCGUCUUCGUCGGCCACUUUGUCUUCAUCCACGUCCAGCUCUAGGCUGGGCCGCGGUGUGUCCAUGCCCAAGAAGAACACUGUUGCUUCUUUGCUGGCCCAGAGUCGCAACCAGCGCAGCACCAGCCCUGGCGCCGGAAGUGGAGGUUACAACAGCAGCAGUGCGCCCACAGUCUCGGCUCCGCAGGCUCACGCGGCCAGCAAUGUCGGAUCGAGCCAGGCUUCCGCCGCCGAAAUGAAAGCCAUGAAAGAUAAUUUGGCGCUGUACACGGCCAUGCAAGAGCUGAGCAACGCCAAAUUAUCCAGCGCCUACCUCAAUGGAAUCAAAGACAGUUUGAAUUCCGGCGGCCAAGCGGGCGGUAGCGACGCCAAUCACGCCAUCCAGGAUCUGCUGCGGGCAGCCAGUCUCUUGGGCGGAUUCGGUUUCGGUGGCAAUCCACUUUCAGGCCUGCCUCAAUCUGCUGGCGCCCAGCCUUCCGGCAACAGCAAAUCCUCCAGCAGCACUCCUAACAAAUCUUCAGCUGCUGACGGCGCUAGUAGCAAGACGGAAGCCAAUCCGGCUUCCAAGAUUAACGAGCAGUCGAGAAGCAAAAGUACACCGACGCCGGAAAACGGCCAGGCCAGGACCAGCGAGUCCCAUCGAGGCAACGGAAAGUCAACCACUCACGACGACACUCCAGCUAGCGACGAUUCCGAUAGUAUGGAUGAGGAUGACUCGAUGAUCGACAGCGACGACGGAUGGGCCGGAACGGGCGAAGGUGGAGACGGCGAGUCGAGAAAGCGGAAUGCGGAUGGCGGUGAAGGUAGCGACGACAGGCCGUCGAAGCGUCGGCGAUUUGUCUCUGACGAAUCGGCAUUGCGAGUCCCGCUGAAUCACGGCUGGAAACGUGAGACCCUGAUUCGUGCCAUCGGCAAGUCGGGCGUUCGCGGCGAAGUGACUUAUUACUCGCCCUCUGGUCGCCGCUUCCGUCAAUAUCCGGAUGUGGUUCGAUACCUGGAAAGGCAGGGCAUUGGAACCAUCACGCGGGACAAUUUCAGUUUCAGCACGCGCUGCAUCGUCGGCGAAUUCAUCCAGCCGCUGGGCGAAUCUCCCAACGCCAGAGGAAUCCGACUGGGCGAGCCGGAAGUGCGACAUUUAGUCGACCAGAUCCGCAUCGCUCGUGGAUGGAAGCCGCGCAGCCGUCGGAUGACGGAAGAGGAGAAGGAGGCCAUCACUCGACAGCGCGAGGCCCAGCGAGUGGCCCAGCGGAUGGAAGCGCAAGAGAUGGCCCGGCAGGCGCAGGAAGCCAAACUCCAGCAGAGAAUGGAGCGGGAACGGGCCCUCCAGGAAGCCAAAGAGGCCCGCCGUCAGAUGCGCGAGCAGGAAAAGCUGGAACGACAAGAGGCCCAGCGCAAGGAGCGAGAACUGCGCACCCAGCAGCUGAUGGAAGCCCGUAAGAAGCGCCAGGAAGAGCUGGAUCGGCUGCGAGAAGAGGAGCAGCAGCGUAAAAUCCAGGAGCUCAAUAAGCAGCGCGAACUCUUCUACACGGCCGAGCUGGAACGCGAAAGGAAGCGGCAGCACACGGCCGUCGUCAAAGCGCUGGAAGCCCGGAAGCGCUACGAGGAUCGCGAGCGACGACGCGAGGAAUUGAAGGCCGAGAAACGGGCGGAACGCGAGAAGAAGAUGGAAGAACGUCGACGCGAGCUGGAAUCGUGGCGCGACCAGCGCAGCCCCACCGAAGACACAUCCUUGAUGGAUCACAAGCCUUUACCCGACAUUCCUCGCAUCACCAACCUCAAGCUGGCCGGACAGGCCCUGGCUGACAUCCUGAUGCUCUACGAGUUCCUGCACACGUUCGGCGAAACGCUGGGCUUUGACAUGGAGAGUCUCCCCUCGCUGGACAGUCUCCAGAGAGCCCUGCUCUACGACAGCGAAGCCGAGGAGGAGCUGCUCUCUGUCAUGACGCACUUGCUGGUAUGCUCCAUCGAAGAUCCGGGCAUUCCGCACCCCAACCGGCACACGACCCUUUUGGGACAGACGCUGAAACAGGCCGACAUUACGACGACCAACGUCAGCGAGAUAUUGCGCAUCUACUUGCAAGCCAACGGAUUGGGUGACAUGAAAAUGCCGGCCGCCGACAAGAUCACGUCCAGCCCUCUGAAGCUGGCCGCCGGUGAAUAUCCGGACACGGAAGCCUUCCUCAUGUCCGAGUGGCUUAAACGCAAGCCUUUCCUAUCACUCAAUCCAACUCAAAAGGCGGCCAUUUUGGGAUUUAUGGUCAACGAAUUACUCCAGAACAAGGCCGUCAUUGGUCAAAUCGAAGGUGCCAUCGAGGGUCAGAACACGGCCAGAAGAGAUCGCUGGAUCGUGGACACGAAAAUCAAGAAGCUCAAAACGCUUCAUUCUAAAAAGCAUCGAACGUCACUCAUCAGUUCAUCCAUCAAUUUCUCAUCCACGGCGGCCAACAAAGCGGACCCGAUGGAUGAUUCGACAAAUCACGACGAAACCAACCAUUCGGCCAGCGGAAGCAAGAAAAAAGAUGAAAUCACCGAAACCGAAGAACAUCCGGAAGAGGCGGAUGAAGACAGUGGGGGUGAAGCUGAUGACAAUGCAGAUCAAGGCGAUGAGGAUGAAGAUGGAAAUCUUCCUGUGGAGGAGUUGAAACGGAAGAUUGAACGUUUAGGCCGGCAAAGUGCCCAAAUGUUGACUCAGUUAGCCUUGUCCGAUUUGCAAUUGCGAGCGCUCAAUAUGGGCCAGGAUCGCUUCCGGCGACGUUUGUGGAUUUUGCCGCACGCUGGUGGCGUCUACCUCGAAGCUUUAGAGUCCGGAGAAGCCAACGCCGGACCACUGGGUACUUGGGACGGCAAACCCGCCCCUCCGAUCGGCCCUCAGCGCAACGGCGACGAGCCGGAUGACGAGCCCAUGCCGGAAGUCCCACCAGUCAAAAGCGAACCGAUCUCUGACGAGCCUAAACCGACUCUACCCGUGCCGAAAACCGAACUAGAAGAUAAAGAAAUUCCUAGUCUCCAGGAACCAAUGGAAGUGGACCAACCGGCCGUUAAAACGGAAUUGGUCGAAGAAGCAACGGCGGCCGCCGAUGUCAAGAGUGAAGAAAACACGACCGCCGGAAUGAUACCAGUCACAGCCGAGGUCGUUCUGAAGAAGGAAGAAGAGACACAGGAAGCUCUUCCGGCUCUGUGGUUCAGCCUCUUCCCCCGCACUCCAUGCGAUCGCCAUUCAUCCGCCAACCAGGGCAAGGAUCGUUUCGGCUCGGACGAAGACGAAGGUGAAGGUCGUAUGUCAAAGAAAGAAGAAGCGGCCAAGGAAGAAGCUGAGAAAAUUAUCAUGCAACCCAUUCCGGAAGAAAUGACCCGCGGCUGGUGGCGGAUCGUCGAUCCGGAACAAGUCAAAACUUACGUCGAAUCGCUACAUCCUCGAGGCGUUCGCGAGAAGGAGCUCAACCGGAUGUUGACACGUUUUAUGGACUUUGCUCGCGAAUCGUGUUUGAAGGGCAAUCCCAAAGAUUUGCUGCUGAAGGAACUGCGCAACGCCGACGAGGUCAAACUGGUGGGCGGAGCCGCUUUGCCGGAUGCGGAAGGUUCGUGGUCGAGAGAGACGUCUCUGCGGGGUGACAUCCUCCUGCUGGAACAGAUCGAAGCCCUGGAAGAUCGCGUGGCCUCUGCCAGCAUGCAAGUCAAAGGCUGGAAAUUGCCCGCCCGGGCCACUUCUGAAAUGAACUUGAAAUUCCGCACGCCCGGAGACACGUCGUCUGAUGAUGACGAUGACGAAGACGAAAGAGUUAACCCCAUACAGCUGGCCAAAGAAAGGCUGUUGAGCGUCGAACUGGCCAUCGAACGUCGUUACCUGAAAGCUCCUCUCGGUCAGAGCAAAGGCGAUCUGGUUCAGAGCGUCCUGUCCGGCUCUUGCCCGUCCAGCGAGCCGCCCAAAGCCCUGCUGACAUGGCGAGAGGCCGUCAAACGCUGCGAAACGGCCGCCCAGGUCUCCAUGUGCUUUUACGUUCUGGAAACCUCCGUGGCCUGGGACAAAUCGAUCAUGAAGGCCAGCUGCCAAUUCUGCCACAGUGGUGAUAAAGAGGACCAACUGUUGUUAUGCGACGGAUGUGACAAAGGCUAUCACACCUACUGCUUCCGGCCACCCAUGGAUAACAUCCCAGAUGGCGACUGGUUCUGUUACGAGUGCCGGAAUAAAGCUACCGGCCAGCGCAACUGCAUCGUCUGUGGUAAACCCGGAAACAAGACUAUCAGCGUCCUCUGCGACCAGUGCCCUAAAGCGUAUCACAUCGAAUGCCUCCAGCCUCCGCUCGCCAAGGUUCCUCGAGGCAAAUGGCUAUGCGUUCUGUGCCACUCUAAAUCGCCGGCCAAGAAGAAGGCGGCCAGCAAGAAAGCGGCCAACCGAGAGCCGAGGAUCAGCGAAUCCGAGUCGACCUCGGCAGCUAAUUCGGCCAAAGAAAUUAAAGAAGCGGCCGACAAGAACGCGCAUUCCAACGACAGCGAAGCGCCUGCCGCCGCUGUCGUUGCCGGCCCUGGACCGAGCACUCCGGUCGCCACUCCGUCGCCGCGCCGAUCCUCCUCCGCUGUGGCUCUAAAGCGUAGCCUCAACCAGGCCAUCGCCAAGGAGAAGGAUCUUGCGCCGUGCAGGUAUAAAGGGAGAUCCUCGACCAGUUAGAAGCUCACGAUGAAGCCUGGCCUUUCCUUUUGCCUGUCAAUACCAAACAAUUUCCCACCUACAAGAAAAUCAUCCGCUCACCCAUGGAUCUGAGCACCAUCCGCAAGAAACUCAACGACGGCAUAUACAAGACAAGGGACGAUUUUUGUGCCGACUUGCAACUGAUGUUUGUCAAUUGUGUUACAUUCAACGAGGACGACUCUCCUGUCGGCAAGGCCGGCCACAGCA
This 6739-nucleotide unclassified non-coding RNA is filed under the name Daphnia pulex (common water flea). RNAcentral's name for it is "bromodomain adjacent to zinc finger domain protein 2B-like, transcript variant X1". Lineage: Eukaryota; Metazoa; Arthropoda; Branchiopoda; Diplostraca; Daphniidae. The record is from RNAcentral.